AGAGUUUGAUCCUGGCUCAGGACGAACGUUGGCGGUGCGCUUUAUGCAUGCAAGUCGAGCGAGAAGCGUUGGUUCCGUAAGGUUCCGACGUGGAAAGCGGCGAACGGGUGCGUAACACGUGAGAAACCUGCCCCCCAGACCGGGAUAGCCCAGGGAAACUUGGAUUAAUACCGGAUAUUCUCUUUGGAUCGCAUGAUCCGUUGAGGAAAUGGUUCGCUGCUGGGGGAUGGUCUCGCGGCCUAUCAGGUAGUUGGUGAGGUAACGGCUCACCAAGCCGAAGACGGGUAGCUGGUCUGAGAGGACGAUCAGCCACACUGGAGCUGAGACACGGCCCAGACUCCUACGGGAGGCAGCAGCAGGGAAUAUUGCACAAUGGGCGAAAGCCUGAUGCAGCGACACCGCGUGCGGGAUGAAGGCCUUCGGGUUGUAAACCGCUUUCAGGAGGGAAGAAAAUGACGGUACCUCCAGAAGAAGGCCCGGCCAACUACGUGCCAGCAGCCGCGGUAAUACGUAGGGGCCAAACGUUGUCCGGAAUUAUUGGGCGUAAAGGGCUCGUAGGCGGUUCAACAAGUCGGUCGUGAAAGCCCGGGGCUCAACUCCGGGAUGCCGGUCGAAACUGUUGUGACUUGAGUUCGGUAGAGGUGAGUGGAAUUCUCAGUGUAGCGGUGGAAUGCGCAGAUAUUGAGAGGAACACCAUUAGCGAAGGCGGCUCACUGGGCCGAUACUGACGCUGAGGAGCGAAAGCGUGGGGAGCAAACAGGAUUAGAUACCCUGGUAGUCCACGCCGUAAACGAUGAACACUAGGUGUAGCGGAUUUAUUCAUGUCUGCUGUGCCGUAGCUAACGCAUUAAGUGUUCCGCCUGGGGAGUACGGCCGCAAGGCUAAAACUCAAAGGAAUUGACGGGGCCCCGCACAAGCGGCGGAGCAUGCGGCUUAAUUCGAUGCAACCCGAAGAACCUUACCUGGGUUUGACAUCAUGGGUCUAGCUGUGGAAACACAGUGUGCUUACGCGCCCAUGACAGGUGGUGCAUGGCUGUCGUC
This 1041-nucleotide ribosomal RNA is filed under the name uncultured bacterium. RNAcentral describes it as "bacterial SSU rRNA". It matches the Rfam family "Bacterial small subunit ribosomal RNA", at positions 8 to 1056 of the family's 1533-position model. The record is from RNAcentral.